AUGUGUUUGCGUAUGUCCGAUAGAUCUACUGUUGUGGAUUGGAGAUUUGAAAAGGAUAUUAAAAGAAAACGAUUGCUUAAUUAUAGUAUAGAUUUUGGAGUUUGUAUAUUUUGUGGCAAUUGUGUUGAGUACUGUCCAACAAGCUGUUUAUCAAUGACUGAAGAAUAUGAACUUUCUACCUAUGAUCGUCAUGAAUUGAAUUACAAUAAAAUUGCUUUAAGUUAG
RNAcentral lists this ribosomal RNA (225 nucleotides) under Triticum aestivum (bread wheat). RNAcentral's name for it is "partial small subunit ribosomal RNA". The record is from RNAcentral. Lineage: Eukaryota; Viridiplantae; Streptophyta; Magnoliopsida; Poales; Poaceae.